GCCCUGGUGGCGAAACUGGUAGACGCAAGGGACUUAAAAUCCCUCGAGGCCAAACCCCUCAUGCCGGUUCGACUCCGGCCCAGGGCA
RNAcentral lists this transfer RNA (87 nucleotides) under Junco hyemalis (dark-eyed junco). It matches the Rfam family "tRNA". From Rfam's summary of the family: Transfer RNA (tRNA) molecules are approximately 80 nucleotides in length. Their secondary structure includes four short double-helical elements and three loops (D, anti-codon, and T loops). The record is from Rfam by way of RNAcentral. Lineage: Eukaryota; Metazoa; Chordata; Aves; Passeriformes; Passerellidae.